ACGCACGCUGGCGGCGUGCUUAACACAUGCAAGUCGCACGGAAAGGCCCUGCUUUUGUGGGGUGCUCGAGUGGCGAACGGGUGAGUAACACGUGAGUAACCUGCCCUUGACUUUGGGAUAACUUCAGGAAACUGGGGCUAAUACCGGAUAGGAGCUCCUGCUGCAUGGUGGGGGUUGGAAAGUUUCGGCGGUUGGGGAUGGACUCGCGGCUUAUCAGCUUGUUGGUGGGGUAGUGGCUUACCAAGGCUUUGACGGGUGGCCGGCCUGAGAGGGUGACCGGCCACAUUGGGACUGAGAUACGGCCCAGACUCCUACGGGAGGCAGCAGUGGGGAAUAUUGCACAAUGGGCGGAAGCCUGAUGCAGCAACGCCGCGUGCGGGAUGACGGCCUUCGGGUUGUAAACCGCUUUCGCCUGUGACGAAGCGUGAGUGACGGUAAUGGGUAAAGAAGCACCGGCUAACUACGUG
This 467-nucleotide ribosomal RNA is filed under the name uncultured bacterium. RNAcentral describes it as "partial 16S ribosomal RNA". It matches the Rfam family "Bacterial small subunit ribosomal RNA", at positions 29 to 507 of the family's 1533-position model. The record is from RNAcentral.